UGCUUACAAUAAACCAAAUUACAUUACUCUAACAACAAAUAAAAAAGAUGAUGUCGGUGGAGCCUCAUAUACUGCAAUCAGAAGAUGGAGCCUAAUCAUCCGCUGUAAGGUCCUAUGGAGGCAGAGGAAACUGAUGAUAAUAUUGUUGUAUGAAUUGAUCAAAUCACGUAAAUCCCUCAUCCAGUUGCACCUUGAUACUAUUAGCUCAUGCAUCAAUCCAUGCUAUAAGAGAUGUCUCCAAUGUGUCUAUGUGAGCAGAGAAUGCAUGC
Molecule: long non-coding RNA, 269 nt
Filed under: Elaeis guineensis (African oil palm)
Lineage: Eukaryota; Viridiplantae; Streptophyta; Magnoliopsida; Arecales; Arecaceae
Description: long non-coding RNA (EGUI_LNC033810)
Source: RNAcentral